Molecule: ribosomal RNA, 704 nt
Filed under: Calonarius metarius
Lineage: Eukaryota; Fungi; Basidiomycota; Agaricomycetes; Agaricales; Cortinariaceae
Description: eukaryotic LSU rRNA
Rfam family: 5.8S ribosomal RNA (bases 308-461)
Source: RNAcentral
UGGUCAUUUAGAGGAAGUAAAAGUCGUAACAAGGUUUCCGUAGGUGAACCUGCGGAAGGAUCAUUAUUGAAAUAAAUCUGAUAAGUUGCUGCUGGUUCUCUAGGGAGCAUGUGCACACUUGUCAUCUUUGUAUCUUCACCUGUGCACCUUUUGUAGACCUGAAUAUCUCUCUGAAUGCUUUAUAGCACUCAGGAUUGAGAAUUGACUUCUUGUCUCUUCUUAUUUUUCAGGUCUAUGUUUCUUCAUAUACCCUAAUGUAUGUUUGUAGAAUGUGAUUAAUGGGCCUUUGUGCCUUUAAAUCUUWUACAACUUUCAGCAACGGAUCUCUUGGCUCUCGCAUCGAUGAAGAACGCAGCGAAAUGCGAUAAGUAAUGUGAAUUGCAGAAUUCAGUGAAUCAUCGAAUCUUUGAACGCACCUUGCGCUCCUUGGUAUUCCGAGGAGCAUGCCUGUUUGAGUGUCAUUAAUAUUAUCAACCUCUUUGGUUGGAUGUGGGUUUGCUGGCCUCUUGAGGUCAGCUCUCCUUAAAUGCAUUAGCGGACAACAUUUUGCCAACUGUUCAUUGGUGUGAUAAUUAUCUACGCUAUUGACGGUGAAGCAAGGUUCAGCUUCUAACAGUCCAUUGACUUGGACAAGCUUAUUUUAUUAAUGUGACCUCAAAUCAGGUAGGACUACCCGCUGAACUUAAGCAUAUCAAUAAGCGGAG